UUCAACUGUGCCUUUUUUUUCUUCUUUUAUUAGGUGGCCAUGUUUCAUGUUUUGCAUCUUCUGUGGUCAAAAUCUGGGGACAGUUCAAGUAUUUUGCUUUUCAUGUGGGAAAAAUUUACAGUUCUUGGCACGAGGUGAAGACAGCGGGUCGGUGCUGGACUCGCUCUCAGAAGAGGAUCUGAUUAAGACUUACUUUUAUGACGGCUACAGUCAUGCAGAAGUUUUGGAUUUCUUGCCAACAGUUCACAAUGUUCAAAUGAGUCUUUCCUCUUUAAAGAGCAAAUUUAAGAAAUUAUCAAUUUUAUGGAAACCAAUGAUGUCAUUCCAGACUGUCUUCUCCUCUAAAAAUUUCCGUAAUUUGUUCUAAUUUUGGUUUAUUACUCCCAGUUCUGGAUUGUUAGAAUGGCCCUUAGCGGCUGGAGGAAGUAGGAGACUUGAGGCAGAGAAACAGUGCAAAUCCCGCUGGGUGUUUAUUCACCAACAUUUAACACACAGACAACCCUGCUAACAGCGGCCWAGGGUYUCAGCAGCAACACWCUUCAAUGUGGCCAACAUGCAGCCUUUUAUAGUAGCUGGCUGUUCCACUUUACAAACCCACCAAAAACAGGGUAAAACAAAAUACAUACACAAACACAGUUUGACAAACUAACACAAUCUUCAGAAUAAUAUACAUUACCAAAUGUUAUUCAUUUUAAUAAUCUCUAAAAACCAAUCUCUAUCAAUCCAAAUAUWAAUCCAACAUUAAAUAUAUAAAAUGUGUAGCUCUACUGCUCCCCCUCUUCCAUCUGCUUUGGUCUCUUCUGGAACCUUUAAAAGGUGCUCAGGCCCCCGGGGAAUCUUUUAGCCUGAACACCCUGCAGAGGAAGAGACAGAGGUAAGCCACACCCACACAAAGCCUUCAAACAUUUCAAACAAUCACAAUACUUAUAUUAUCCCUUUGUUUGUUGUAUUUUAACAGGUCACCAUCAGUUCCAGCUGAGAUGCCACUGCACAAAAACACACAAUCAAUAAAAUACUUCAAUCUGU
Poecilia reticulata (guppy) is the source of this 1026-nucleotide non-coding RNA. Lineage: Eukaryota; Metazoa; Chordata; Actinopteri; Cyprinodontiformes; Poeciliidae. The record is from RefSeq and is a predicted model, not a curated record.